RNAcentral lists this ribosomal RNA (373 nucleotides) under uncultured organism. RNAcentral describes it as "partial 16S ribosomal RNA". It matches the Rfam family "Bacterial small subunit ribosomal RNA", at positions 527 to 896 of the family's 1533-position model. The record is from RNAcentral.
GUAGGUGGCAAGCGUUGUCCGGAAUUAUUGGGCGUAAGGCGCGCGCAGGCGGUUCUUUAAGUCUGAUGUGAAAGCCCACGGCUCAACCGUGGAGGGUCAUUGGAAACUGGAGAACUUGAGUACAGAAGAGGAAAGCGGAAUUCCACGUGUAGCGGUGAAAUGCGUAGAGAUGUGGAGGAACACCAGUGGCGAAGGCGGCUUUCUGGUCUGUAACUGACGCUGAGGCGCGAAAGCGUGGGGAGCAAACAGGGAUUAGAUACCCUGGUAGUCCACGCCGUAAACGAUGAGUGCUAAGUGUUAGGGGGUUUCCGCCCCCUUAGUGCUGCAGCUAACGCAUUAAGCACUCCGCCUGGGGAGUACGGCCGCAAGGCUG